CAAGUGCCCUGGCUGAGAUCAUAUGUCAGAUAAUACCUUGGCAUCUUCCAAGGGCAACUGGCACUGUCUGCAUAACUGGCGGACAAUAGGCAAAACUAUUCUGAAAACUGUUUCUACUGCUUUGGAAAAAUCUCCAGGAUGAUGCCUCAAGAAAGAAAGAAAAAAAUUAAAGGAAAUAUAAUCCCAGCUGACUGAAUAAUGUUCCUCCAAAUUCACAUGUUGAAGCCCUAACAUCCAUUUGAAGAUAGCGUCUUGAAGAGGCACUCAAGGGGGAUGGAACUCUAAUCCCAAAUGGCUGGUGUCCUUAUAAAAAAGCAGAAGGGACACCAGCCAGGCUGAUGAACAGAGAAAAGACUACAUGAAGAUACAGUAAGAAGAUUGCCCUCUGUCAGCCAAGGAGAGAUACCUCAGGAAAAAAUAAACCUGCCUACACCUUGAUUCUGGACUUCAGUCCUCCUAAACUGUUUGAAUCCACGUCUCUGACUCUGAUUACCAAGAAACUCUUUCACCUUAGCUCACUGGGUAAAAGCCGGAUUCACCAAGAGCAGUGGAUAUAAAUUGGCUCAUUACUGGGUGAGUUCAGAAAUGAAUUCUGUCUCUCAGAACCUCAUUUUACUUAUACAUGGAUAAAGGAUAUGCAUCUUUUGCAGGAAUCUUGUAGCAGAAUGAAGGAAUGAAAGAGCUGGAUCCACUGAUUUCAUCCUAUAUACAUCCUCUGUUCAUUGUGAUUUCUCCCAUGUUAGGCAGGAAACAAAACAUGGUUUCCCAGCUUUAUCGGGGUAUGAUUGUGAUACAGUCAACCACCUGUAAUUAAACAUUGCAAUCUCUUUUGACACACAUGAAAUCAUCACAGCAGACAAGAUAGUGAAUAUAGCCCUCACUUCAUAAUUCUUUCCUACCUCCUUAUAUUUCCUAGCUCCCAACACUCCCACAAACUCCAACAUCCCAUGUUUUUUGUCCAGAAGUGUUGUAGUUAUAGGUUUCACACUUAGAUCUUUGUUCCAUAAUGAGUUUAUUUUGCAUGUGCUAAAAGGAAUAAGUUACUAUGUUUUGCAUAUGGAUAUUCAGUUCUACAAGAAACAGUUGUUGAAAGGUUAUGUUUUAUCCACAGAAUUAUCUUUGUAUCUUUGUAAAAAUUGAUUUUCCCUGUUUAUAUGUGGUCUGCUUCUGAAUUCUAUUCUGUUCCGGUUUUAGUCAACUUUUCAUCGCUGUGACUGAGAGAACUGACAAAAACAAUGAAAGAGGAGGAAAAGUUUAUUUGGUUUACAGUUUCAGAGGUCUCAGGCCAUAGAUGACUGACUCCAUUGCUCUAGGACCAUUAUGAGGCAGAACGGUAGUGGAGUAAUGGAGUGGCGGAGGAAAGCAGCUUAGGACAUGGUAACCAGAAACCAGAGAGAGAGUUCUCCUCACCAGAGAUAAAAUACAAACUCCAGGGGCAUUUUCCCAGAGACCCACCUCUUCAAAUCACUCCCUACCUGCCUAGUUAUCACUCAGUUAAUUCACACCAGUGGAUUAAUCUACUGAUUCAGUUCCAACUCUAAUAAUCUAAAUGCUUCACUGCUGAAUUUUCUUGCAUUGUCUCACACAUGAGUUUUUAAGGGACACCACAUAUCAAAACCAUAAGAGCGCACUAGGUAUAAUUGUUUAACUUCACCAAUAUGGUCUUUAUUUCUGCUGCACUUACAGUGAGUCUUAAAAACGGGUAGUGUUAACUCUCCAACUUUGUUCUCUAUUUCAAAGUUAUUUUGUUUGUUCUAGACCUUUUAUGUUUUCACAUAAAGUUUUGAAUCAGUUUGACAAUUUCUCCAGAAAAAUCCUGCAGGAAUGUUGACUGGGAUUGUGUUGAAUUUAAAUAUUGAUUUGAGGAGAACUGACAUCUUAUAAAUAGUAGACAUUUAGAUCCAAGAACAAGGGUUUUAUAUCCCUAUUUAUUCUUUCAUUUUGGUGUACAAAAUUUUGUAAUUUUUGAUAUGGAAAACUUACACAUCUUUUGUCACAUUUUAUUCCUUAUAACCAGUGCCACUUAAAAUUUCAAUUUUGAAUAUUUAUUGCUAGAAUAUAUGUAAAUUGAUUUUUAUGUAUCAAACUUGUGUCUUAUAACUUUGAUAAAAUUGCAAA
This is a long non-coding RNA of Sciurus carolinensis (gray squirrel), 2118 nucleotides long. RefSeq lists it as uncharacterized. The record is from RefSeq and is a predicted model, not a curated record. Lineage: Eukaryota; Metazoa; Chordata; Mammalia; Rodentia; Sciuridae. The transcript is spliced from 3 exons.